RNAcentral lists this small RNA (1865 nucleotides) under Pongo abelii (Sumatran orangutan). RNAcentral's name for it is "retained intron". Lineage: Eukaryota; Metazoa; Chordata; Mammalia; Primates; Hominidae. The record is from RNAcentral.
AUUGUCCCCAUUUUGCAGAUUAGUCCACUGAAACUGGGGCUCUGGGUGAACAAGCUGUAAAAACCCUACCCUCUGUGGGUGUUACUACCCCUGCCCCCAGGACACGUACCUGUCUGGCUGCAGUUUGCCCUCACUCCUGCAGGGUGGGUAAGCAGGCUAGGAGUUUAAGGCUUUGCUUCCAGCAAGUUAGUGGCAAAGCUGGGCCCCAGGCUGAUGGGUCAGGUAUCACAUUGUGCCUGGCAGUUGACAGCCUCCUUCUAAAACUGCCUCUUGCCUUGGCAGGAAAAGGAGAAGGCCCAGUUGGCAGCAGAAGCUCUAAAGCAGGUGAACCGUGUUUCUGGAAGCCGGGAGCCAAGGCCUGCCAGGGAGAGGCUCUUGGAGUGGCCCGAUCGGGAACUGGAUCGGGUCAACAGCUUCCUGAGCAGCCGUCUGCAGGAGAUCAAAAACACUGUCAAAGACUCCAUCCGUGCCAGCUUCAGUGUGUGUGAGCUCAGCAUGGACAGCAAUGGCUUCUCUAAGGAGGGGGCUGCUGAGCCUGAGCCUCAGAGUCUACCCCCCUCAAACCUCAGUGGCUCCUCAGAGCAGCAGCCUGACAUCAGCCUUGACCUGUCCCCUUUGACUUUGGGCUCCCCUCAGAACCACACGUUACAAGCUCCAGGCGAGCCAGCCCCACCAUGGGCAGAAAUGAGAGGCCCUCACCCACCAUGGACAGAGGUGAGGGGGCCCCCUCCCGGUAUCGUCCCCGAGAACGGGCUCGUGAGGAGACUCAACACCGUGCCCAACCUGUCCCGGGUGAUCUGGGUCAAGACACCCAAGCCGGGCUACCCCAGCUCCGAGGAGCCAAGCUCAAAGGAAGUUCCCAGUUGCAAGCAGGAGCUGCCUGAGCCUGUGUCCUCAGGUGGGAAGCCACGGAAGGGCAAGAGGCAGGGCAGUCAGGCCAAGAAGAGCGAGGCAAGCCCAGCCCCCCGGCCCCCAGCCAGCCUAGAGGUUCCCAGUGCCAAGGGCCAGGUCGCUGGCCCCAAGCAGCCAGGCAAGGUCCUAGAGCCUCCCAAAGUAGGCAGCUGUGCUGAGGCUGGAGAGGGGAGCCGGGGGAGCCGGCCAGGACCAGGUUGGGCUGGCAGUCCCAAAACUGAGAAGGAGAAGGGCAGCUCCUGGCGAAACUGGCCAGGCGAGGCCAAGGCACGGCCUCAGGAGCAGGAGUCUGUGCAGCCCCCAGGCCCAGCAAGGCCACAGAGCUUGCCCCAGGGCAAGGGCCGCAGCCGCCGGAGCCGCAACAAGCAGGAGAAGCCAACCUCCUCCUUGGACGAUGUGUUCCUGCCCAAGGACAUGGACGGGGUGGAGAUGGAUGAGACUGACCGAGAGGUGGAGUACUUUAAGAGGUUCUGUUUGGAUUCUGCAAAGCAGACUCGUCAGAAAGUUGCUGUGAACUGGACCAACUUCAGCCUCAAGAAAACCACUCCUAGCACAGCUCAGUGAGGCCCUGCCCAGGCUGAGCUUCUUCAGGGCGUCCUGAGGCCCCGACUGCCAGCUGAAGGCCUACAAUUUUUCCCUCCGUGUGCCCCACCCACCCGUCCAAGACCCUCUCUGCUCCCCACCAUCCUGGACCAACCAAAAGCUGAACGGAUGCCACACUGUGCUGGGGCCCCUUGACCUCAGCAGAGCCGCUUCCUGGUGCUACGCAGCCUCCACACUCAGAGCCCGUGGACUGGGCUGGCCUAAGGGCCAGGGCUGAUGGUACUGCUGGCCCAACACUGCUCUCUUUGUGUUUGGUUUUUUUGUUUUUGUUUUUAUUUUUUUCCAAUUCUUUACUUUUGAUACUGUGAAGAUCUUUCGUGCCGAAAGAUAAAGCAACAUUUGGACACAGA